GUUCUCCUACGGGACGCAGCAGUGGGGAAUUUUGCGCAAUGGGGGAAACCCUGACGCAGCAACGCCGCGUGCGGGACGAAGGCCCUCGGGUUGUAAACCUCUUUCAGCAGGGAAGAUCCAAGACGGUACCUGCAGAAGAAGCUCCGGCUAACUACGUGCCAGCAGCCGCGGUAAUACGUAGGGGGCGAGCGUUAUCCGGAUUCAUUGGGCGUAAAGCGCGCGUAGGCGGCCGCCUAAGCGGGACCUCUAACCCCGGGGCCCAACCCCGGGCCGGGUCCCGGACCGGGCGGCUCGAGUGC
Molecule: ribosomal RNA, 299 nt
Filed under: uncultured bacterium
Lineage: Bacteria
Description: partial 16S ribosomal RNA
Rfam family: Bacterial small subunit ribosomal RNA
Source: RNAcentral